This 208-nucleotide unclassified non-coding RNA is filed under the name Hevea brasiliensis (rubber tree). The record is from RNAcentral. Lineage: Eukaryota; Viridiplantae; Streptophyta; Magnoliopsida; Malpighiales; Euphorbiaceae.
GAAGAUUUGAAGUCAGGAAAUUGGGCCAAUAUAAAGGAUUGGUCCUCCCAAGCAACUUCCUCCUCAGGCAAAUUGAUCCAUUUGAAGAGUCCUUAAAGGAUCUUCUAAGAAUCCCUAGUAAUUACUCUUGUUGGAAGAACUUUUUCAGAAGCAACCACCAUAUUGUCUUCUUGUAGGGAAGGCAGGGUCUGAACUAUUGUGAUUCCAU